RNAcentral lists this unclassified non-coding RNA (193 nucleotides) under uncultured fungus. Its description in RNAcentral is "sequence contains ITS1". Lineage: Eukaryota; Fungi. The record is from RNAcentral.
UUAACUUAUUAUAUAGUACUCAGACGACACAUAAACAUUAGAAUUGGGGUCCUCUGGCAAGCACGCCUCCGCCGAAGCCGAGGGCCAUAAAUGGCGGCCUGCCAAAGCAACAAUGGUAUAUAAACAGGGUGGGAGGUCUACCCGUGAGGGCAUGAUCUCUGUAAUGAUCCUUCCGCUGGUUCACCAACGGAAA